GAUGAACGCUGGCGGUAGGCCUAACACAUGCAAGUCGAACGGCAGCACAGGAGAGCUUGCUCUCUGGGUGGCGAGUGGCGGACGGGUGAGGAAUACAUCGGAAUCUACUUUUUCGUGGGGGAUAACGUAGGGAAACUUACGCUAAUACCGCAUACGACCUACGGGUGAAAGCAGGGGAUCUUCGGACCUUGCGCGAUUGAAUGAGCCGAUGUCGGAUUAGCUAGUUGGCGGGGUAAAGGCCCACCAAGGCGACGAUCCGUAGCUGGUCUGAGAGGGUGAUCAGCCACACUGGAACUGAGACACGGUCCAGACUCCUACGGGAGGCAGCAGUGGGGAAUAUUGGACAAUGGGCGCAAGCCUGAUCCAGCCAUACCGCGUGGGUGAAGAAGGCCUUCGGGUUGUAAAGCCCUUUUGUUGGGAAAGAAAUCCAGCUGGUUAAUACCCGGUUGGGAUGACGGUACCCAAAGAAUAAGCACCGGCUAACUUCGUGCCAGCCGCCGCAGUAA
This 506-nucleotide ribosomal RNA is filed under the name uncultured bacterium. Its description in RNAcentral is "partial 16S ribosomal RNA". It matches the Rfam family "Bacterial small subunit ribosomal RNA", at positions 28 to 523 of the family's 1533-position model. The record is from RNAcentral.